GGGGUUACAGCCUUGCUGAAUUAUUCACCCUUGUCUUUUGCGUACUUCUUGUUUCCUUGGUGGGUUCGCCCACCACUAGGACAAACAUAAACCUUUUGUAAUUGCAAUCAGCGUCAGUAACAAAUUAAUAAUUACAACUUUCAACAACGGAUCUCUUGGUUCUGGCAUCGAUGAAGAACGCAGCGAAAUGCGAUAAGUAGUGUGAAUUGCAGAAUUCAGUGAAUCAUCGAAUCUUUGAACGCACAUUGCGCCCUUUGGUAUUCCAAAGGGCAUGCCUGUUCGAGCGUCAUUUGUACCCUCAAGCUUUGCUUGGUGUUGGGCGUCUUGUCUCUAGCUUUGCUGGAGACUCGCCUUAAAGUAAUUGGCAGCCGGCCUACUGGUUUCGGAGCGCAGCACAAGUCGCACUCUCUAUCAGCAAAGGUCUAGCAUCCAUUAAGCCUUUUUUUCAACUUUUGACCUCGGAUCAGGUAGGGAUACCCGCUGAACUUAAGCAUAU
Molecule: ribosomal RNA, 496 nt
Filed under: Alternaria sp. 30438
Lineage: Eukaryota; Fungi; Ascomycota; Dothideomycetes; Pleosporales; Pleosporaceae
Description: eukaryotic LSU rRNA
Rfam family: 5.8S ribosomal RNA (bases 136-289)
Source: RNAcentral